AACGAACGCUGGCGGCAUGCCUAACACAUGCAAGUCGAACGAGACCUUCGGGUCUAGUGGCGCACGGGUGCGUAACGCGUGGGAACCUGCCCUUAGGUUCGGAAUAACUCCCCGGAAGGGGUGCUAAUACCGGAUAAUGUCUUCGGACCAAAGAUUUAUCGCCUUUGGAUGGGCCCGCGUUGGAUUAGCUAGUUGGUAGGGUAAAAGCCUACCAAGGCGACGAUCCAUAGCUGGUCUGAGAGGAUGAUCAGCCACACUGGGACUGAGACACGGCCCAGACUCCUACGGGAGGCAGCAGUGGGGAAUAUUGGACAAUGGGCGAAAGCCUGAUCCAGCAAUGCCGCGUGAGUGAUGAAGGCCUUAGGGUUGUAAAGCUCUUUUACCCGGGAUGAUAAUGACAUUACCGGGAGAAUAAGCUCCGGCUAACUCCGUG
This 433-nucleotide ribosomal RNA is filed under the name uncultured bacterium. RNAcentral's name for it is "partial 16S ribosomal RNA". It matches the Rfam family "Bacterial small subunit ribosomal RNA", at positions 29 to 507 of the family's 1533-position model. The record is from RNAcentral.